ACGGAAGGCAGCAGUGGGGAAUAUUGCACAAUGGGGGAAACCCUGAUGCAGCGACGCCGCGUGAGUGUAGAAGUUAUUCGUAAUGUAAAGCUCUAUCAGCAGGGAAGAAAAUGACGGUACCUGACUAAGAAGCCCCGGCUAACUACGUGCCAGCAGCCGCGGUAAUACGUAGGGGGCAAGCGUUAUCCGGAUUUACUGGGUGUAAAGGGAGCGCAGACGGCUUUGCAAGUCUGAUGUGAAAGGCAGGGGCUCAACUCCUGGACUGCAUUGGAAACUGUAGGGCUAGAGUGUCGGAGAGGUAAGCGGAAUUCCUAGUGUAGCGGUGAAAUGCGUAGAUAUUCGGAGGAACACCAGUGGCGAAGGCGGCCUACUGGGCUCUUACUGACGCUGAGGCUCGAAAGUGUGGGGAGCAAACAGGAUUAGAUACCCUGGUA
This 434-nucleotide ribosomal RNA is filed under the name uncultured Lachnospiraceae bacterium. RNAcentral's name for it is "partial 16S ribosomal RNA". It matches the Rfam family "Bacterial small subunit ribosomal RNA", at positions 341 to 792 of the family's 1533-position model. Lineage: Bacteria; Bacillati; Bacillota; Clostridia; Lachnospirales; Lachnospiraceae. The record is from RNAcentral.